AACUGGGGGGGAUCGCGGGGGUGGGUAUACCUAUGAAACAAUAAUGUAGGUGUCCCAUGGCAAGCUCAGGUAGGGUAUAAACCUCCUAUGGAGCAGAAGGGAAAAGCUGACUUGAUCUUGAUUUUCAGUAUAAAUAUAGACCAUGAAAGCAGAG
Molecule: non-coding RNA, 154 nt
Organism: Macaca mulatta (Rhesus monkey)
Lineage: Eukaryota; Metazoa; Chordata; Mammalia; Primates; Cercopithecidae
Source: Rfam